This 1768-nucleotide ribosomal RNA is filed under the name marine metagenome. RNAcentral describes it as "bacterial LSU rRNA". It matches the Rfam family "Archaeal large subunit ribosomal RNA", at positions 1177 to 2669 of the family's 2987-position model. The record is from RNAcentral.
AGCGAGGAGGUUGGCUCAGAAGCAGCCAUCCUUUAAAAAGUGCGUAAAAGCUUACUCGUCAAGGCUAGUGGCGCCUAAAGUGGACGGGACUAAGCCGACUGCCGAUACUGCAGAUCUCGAAAGAGAAUGAUAGACAGGCGUCUUGCAAGGGCAGAAGUGUUUUCUCAAGAAAACAUGGACCUUGUCAGAAUGAAAAUCCUGGCAGUAGUAGGAUCUUAGCAGAGUGAGAAUCUCUGCCACCGAAAGGCUAAGGGUUCCUUGACAAUGUAGUUCAGUCAAGGGUAAGUCGCUCCUAACCGCAUUCCUAACAGUUAUGCGGGAAAGGGAAAUCGGUUAAUAUUCCGAUACCGUCAAGGUAUUUGGUAACAAAAGCUUAGAAAGUAACGCUUCGGGUAGGGUUGACGCAUGUUCUGCGCUAACCAUGGCAUGCCUGUGGAGUAUCGUAAUGAUGAGAAGCAGGCAAACCUGGGAAUGGGUAACUCAGCUUGUGCCUGGAGCCCUUGAAAAGCUUUCUAAGUUAAAUCCUUGAUGUGCGUACCCAGAACCAGCACUGGUAGCCUGGAUGAGAAGUCUAAGGUGUGAAGGUGUAAUUCGAUUAAGGGAAUUCGGCAUAUUAGCCCCGUAACUUCGGUUUAAGGGGUCCCUGCAUUCCUAAGCGGGUCUGCAGGGCGCAGUGACUAGGACGGCCCGACUGUUUAACAAAAACUUAACUGGCUGCUAAGCCGUAAGGCCUUGUAUAGCCGGUGACGUCUGUCCAGUGCCGGCACUUCAAACUCCAGUCCAAUGGAGCUAAGAACCGGUAAACGACGGGAGUAACUAUAACUCUCUUAAGGUGGAAAUACUGCCUUAGUAAAAUCUGGCUGUAUGCUGGAACGUCUCGUUGAAGCAACAUAGGUAAUUGCCGUAGUGAUGCGGUAACAACUCCUAACAAUUGUUGUGGAGAGAUAAUCAGCAGGAAAGGUUUCUCGAUGAGAAAAAUCCUCAGAGACUGUACGCCGGACACGCAAAGUGAAGAUACAGUCCGACCCCAGCAGCGAUGUUGGGAAGUCAGCAGAAAUGUUGGCUCGCCUCAAUUGAGGUCUCGAAAGUAACAGAUGUGAGCGAAAUACCUUGUCGUUUGAUUGACGACGCGCAUCAAUGACGUAACGAGGUCGUCACUGUCCCUAAUUGAAAACCUCCGAACAUUCUAUCAUGGUGCGAAGGCCAUGGAUCUCCAGUGGGAAGCGAAGACCCCGUGAAACUUUACUGUAGCUUGCUGCUGCGAUUCGGGUUCUGUUGUAUAGCGUAAGUGGGAGUUAAGCUGAGCAAUCAGUGGUACGCCAAUGUAACACCACUCUACGGAACCUGAAUUGCUAACUUAGCAAUAAGGACAACGGUUGGCGGACAGUUUGGCUGGGGUGGCACACUCCUGAAAAAAUAUCAGGAGUGCCCAAAGGUUGGCUCAGACGGGUCGGAAAUCCGUCGCAGAGUGCAAGUGCAUAAGCCAGCCUGAUUGGAUUCCUAAUAGGAAAGAAUCCAAACAAGAAAUUGUGGACUAGCGAACCUCUGUACCUCAUUAAUCGAGGUCAGAGAUGACCGAAAAGUUACUCCGGGGAUAACAGAGUUGUCUCGCCUGAGAGCUCGUUUAAGAGCGCUCGGUUUGAUAACUGUUUAUUCCAAUUACGGUCACGUUAGAAUUUGGGGUUAGUUAAUUAGUGUUAGCUAGCUCAUUGACGUAACUGAAUUGGUAGACAGUACUAUAAUCCGAACGUUCUAGAGCAAAUCGACG